UAAACAAGUAAAAUGCUGCAACUGAAAGAUAUCCAGCUUUGAAAGACCAUGAGUUUGACCAAAGAAACUACACAGAGUGUUAACCUCCACAUAAGUCUUCUGCCCAUUCUUCCCCUUAAAGGUGAAGCCUAAUUCGUAGCCUCUGACUUUGUGAAUUUGAAACCCCAAGUGAGCAUUCUGACAUCCUGAUGUUCAAGGUUUGGGUUCCAGGGCCAGAGAAGCAAAUUUUGAUACAUCAAAUUAAUGGGUGCUCCAGAACUGAGAGCCUAAGGAACCAGAAUGCAAGAAAAGGAAUUGGAGAUCUCUCUUUGAAGACCAUGCUUCCCUAGGAAAGAACCACAAUUCUGGGUCCAGAUAUAAGAAGGGUCUCCUGGAGGAGAGAGAAAGUUGAGCCUUCCCUUGUAACAAAAACAGAAGGAAAACAAAAACAAGAACCAAACAAACCAAAGCUGAGGCUUUGAAUAGCAGUUGAAUUUGAAUC
Long non-coding RNA from Antechinus flavipes (yellow-footed antechinus), 481 nucleotides. RefSeq lists it as uncharacterized. Lineage: Eukaryota; Metazoa; Chordata; Mammalia; Dasyuromorphia; Dasyuridae. The transcript is spliced from 4 exons. The record is from RefSeq and is a predicted model, not a curated record.